GAUGAACGCUGACAGAAUGCUUAACACAUGCAAGUCAUUGGCGAAGCUGCGCUUGCGCAGUCUAGCCAAGGCGGACGGGUGAGUAACGCGUCAGGAACUUGCCCUGCAGACAGGGAUAACAGACGGAAACGACUGAUAACACCUGGUAUUGUCAGGCUGGCGCAUGCCGGCCUGAUGAAAGGAGACGCUGCAGGAGAGCCUUGCGUCCUAUUAGCUAGUUGGUGGGGUAACGGCCCACCAAGGCGAUGAUAGGUAGCCGGCCUGAGAGGGUGAACGGCCACAAGGGGACUGAGAUACGGCCCUUACUCCUACGGGAGGCAGCAGUGGGGAAUAUUGGACAAUGGGGGCAACCCUGAUCCAGCAAUUCUGUGUGCACGAAGAAGGUUUUCGGAGUGUAAAGUGCUUUCAGCAGGGAAGAAGAAAGUGACGGUACCUGCAGAAGAAGCGACGGCUAAAUACGUG
Molecule: ribosomal RNA, 462 nt
Filed under: uncultured bacterium
Lineage: Bacteria
Description: partial 16S ribosomal RNA
Rfam family: Bacterial small subunit ribosomal RNA
Source: RNAcentral